Rosa chinensis is the source of this 1419-nucleotide RNA transcript. It is a transcript of the gene named putative F-box protein At1g47790, with no coding region annotated. NCBI's taxonomy places the organism in Eukaryota, Viridiplantae, Streptophyta, Magnoliopsida, Rosales, Rosaceae. The transcript is spliced from 2 exons. The record is from RefSeq and is a predicted model, not a curated record.
UGGACUUCUUUUCCAUGGGAAUGGAGGCAGGCGAAGUAGUAAAGGUAUCCUCUUCUUUGGCCGACAAUCAAGACCUUGUAAUAGAAAUCCUCUCACAGUUACCUAUCAAAUCUUUAGUUAGGUUUAUGUGUGUGUCGCAAGAGUGGUCUGCUCUCAUAAAAAGCUCUCGUUUCAUUGCAAUUCACCAAAAAUGCCUUCAACGAUUGAAUCCUCCGAAUCUCUGUUUACUCUACGGUCACAGUUCCGGAAGUAGAUUUGCUAAAUAUCCCAAGCACCAUGGGAUUUCAUUGCUUGGCAAAGACACACAUUUGGAGGGAUUAGAUCUGCCUGAACGUGUCCAGCAAGACUCUUAUGAUAGGUUGAUACUUAUUGCGGGAUCUAGCAAUGGUCUAGUCUGCCUUUAUCCUCUUAACACUCCAAAGGAGAUAAUCGUCGUGUGGAACCCAGCAACAAGACAGCAUAGUCGUGAGGAUUUCCCACAGCAAGGAUCGUGAUGCUGAUGGAAGGUUUACAUACCUAACCCAAGUCUUCACCCGAAGUGAGAAGUCAUGGAGAGAAGUUAAAAACUGUAUUCCACCAGGCGAUUAUAACUUUGAACCAGGCUCUUCAAUUUCUUCGAAUGGUGUGGUGUAUUGCUUGGCAAGGACUAAGGGUGUUCCUUUUGUUUUCUCCUUCAAUCUGCAUGAUGAGGUAAUCCAUAACAUGCCAAUGCCGCCUCGUUACAGUCUUUUUUAUGGCCAACGUCUCUUUACGUGGGAAAAUUCAGUUGCAUUUUUAACCCAUGUUGAACGUAAGUAUGAUCUUUGGGUAAUGGAGAAAGAAUCCGGUACACAAAUGCCUACUUGGAAUUGGACUGCGCAAUUUACAAUCAAAAAUCUGCCACAAUUUAUGGAUUUAAUCUUUGUAUUCUGGGAUGGUUUAUUUCUGUUUGUCAAAAGGCAGGUCAGAGCUGGACAAGAUCUGGUUACGUAUGAUCGAGCUACAACCGGAGCGAUGAAGGCUUUCAAACUUGCAACAGGGAACUCAUGCCUUCAAGUGGUAGAUUACGUUCAGAGCUUGGUUUCAGUAUUCUAAGUGCGAGUAGAUGAAGUAGUGGAAUAUGUACCGGGUGCAACCGAUGUAUCUUUGAUCUUCAAUUGAAAUGAACGUUUUUGAUGGACCUUUCAUCAACUCAUUAUUCGGCCAAUAAUGUUUUUAUUUCUACGUUUUUGGGUCGUAUAAUUGCUAUCUUAGAAUGUUGUUGACCGACUCCUCAUUGAAAUUUUCAUUCGUGGUGCUGCUUUCAUAUGAAAGAACAGAGCAUGCAGAUGAUGAGUACGGUGCACAAAACUAAACUAUUUACAGGCAAAGACUAAAGAUGAAUGGCUCCUUCUAACUCCAUUUGGAGUUUUGAAUGAUAAAAACAUAGAGGGCCCUGGU